UUCGAAACAUAUCAAAAUAAAUUUUACCUUCUCAGAAUUAAAAAACACAUAGCUUCAAACACUUCUUUGCAGCUUCAAGCACAGAUGAAGAAAGUAUUUGAAGAACACAUCUCAAAAUGCUCAUAGCUUCAAUCACAUUAAAGUAGGCUAAGACACUCUCGGGCUUGUAGAGGUCGUUGAACAUCAAGAAGAGGUAGGUCAUGAAAAGAUCUCAGAUCUAGGUUUCUCCUCCAUGAGAAAUUUGGGGGUUUCUUCUUUAAUUAUUCCUUUCUUGUUCGGCUUAUUAAUUUCUUGUUGAAUUUAUUAUUUUGCUUUUGAUUUAAGCAUGGAAUCUAAAUUAGGUAUCGGUUUAUCUAGGGCUAUUGAAGAUUAUCGAAGAAAGGAGAGAAAAUGUGAUUUGCUAUAGAGAAUGCGACAAAGAUGAGUAUUUGAUUGCUGAUACUAAGAUACAUAUAUUGAGAUCGGUUUUGAAUAUUAAGAUCGUUAAGGGUUCACUUUGUAGCGU
RNAcentral lists this long non-coding RNA (505 nucleotides) under Nicotiana benthamiana. RNAcentral describes it as "long non-coding RNA (NBEN_LNC019993)". Lineage: Eukaryota; Viridiplantae; Streptophyta; Magnoliopsida; Solanales; Solanaceae. The record is from RNAcentral.